CCUGAGCCACGGGGAAAGUUGGCAGAAACGUUUACGCAAAGUAUCGUGUUGCAUCGCGAGUCCUCGCCACGAGUGGCAUAGUAUAUUUGACUUCCAAAAUGUAGAAAAUUUACUCCAUAUGUUGUUAUAUAAAUACGACACGUUAUGUAAGAUUGAUUUAUUUAGCGAUACAACGAUGACAGUAGUAUCUUACUGCAGUGCCAAUAAAAUUUCAAAAUGUUUUAUGUAAUACACGCAAUAUAUGCAAUACAAUUUUCCUAUUUCUCAUUACGUAAAACUGAGAAGAAGUUUGCAUACACCUGGUACACCCAGAAGUAUCGCCGUACAGUGCAGCAUUUGAAUGAAGAUUCGGAACAAAGAUCAAGAGAUGUGUAUAGAUAA
Molecule: unclassified non-coding RNA, 381 nt
Filed under: Bombus terrestris (buff-tailed bumblebee)
Lineage: Eukaryota; Metazoa; Arthropoda; Insecta; Hymenoptera; Apidae
Description: misc RNA ENSBTSG00005020808.1
Source: RNAcentral